AACGAACGCUGGCGGCGUGCCUAACACAUGCAAGUCGUGCGAGAAAGUUUCCUUCGGGGAGCGAGUAAAGCGGCGCACGGGUGAGUAACACGUAGGUAACCUACCUUUCAGUCCGGAAUAACCAGCUGAAAAGCUGGCUAAUGCCGGGUAAGACCACGAUCUCUGCGGGGAUCGCGGCCAAAGGCGGCCUCUUCAUGAAAGCUGAUGCUGAGAGAUGGGCCUGCGACCAUUAGCUAGUUGGUGAGGUAACGGCUCACCAAGGCUUUGAUGGUUAGCUGGUCUGAGA
Molecule: ribosomal RNA, 286 nt
Filed under: uncultured bacterium
Lineage: Bacteria
Description: partial 16S ribosomal RNA
Rfam family: Bacterial small subunit ribosomal RNA
Source: RNAcentral